UGAAGGUAUCCAAUUUUGGUCGGCGA
This 26-nucleotide small RNA is filed under the name Bombyx mori (domestic silkworm). RNAcentral describes it as "ovarian small RNA-30968". Lineage: Eukaryota; Metazoa; Arthropoda; Insecta; Lepidoptera; Bombycidae. The record is from RNAcentral.